RNAcentral lists this ribosomal RNA (89 nucleotides) under Proteus mirabilis. RNAcentral's name for it is "partial 23S ribosomal RNA". It matches the Rfam family "Bacterial large subunit ribosomal RNA", at positions 2837 to 2925 of the family's 2925-position model. RNAcentral also lists the same sequence under 1 other name. Lineage: Bacteria; Pseudomonadati; Pseudomonadota; Gammaproteobacteria; Enterobacterales; Morganellaceae. The record is from RNAcentral.
GUUUAAGACUAAGACGUUGAUAGGCUGGGUGUGUAAGCGUAGCGAUACGUUGAGCUAACCAGUACUAAUGAACCGUGAGGCUUAACCUG